This 1346-nucleotide ribosomal RNA is filed under the name uncultured bacterium. Its description in RNAcentral is "partial 16S ribosomal RNA". It matches the Rfam family "Bacterial small subunit ribosomal RNA", at positions 28 to 1381 of the family's 1533-position model. The record is from RNAcentral.
GACGAACGCUGGCGGCGUGCUUAACACAUGCAAGUCGAACGGAAAGGCCCUGCUUUUGUGGGGUGCUCGAGUGGCGAACGGGUGAGUAACACGUGAGUAACCUGCCCUUGACUUUGGGAUAACUUCAGGAAACUGGGGCUAAUACCGGAUAGGAGCUCCUGCUGCAUGGUGGGGGUUGGAAAGUUUCGGCGGUUGGGGAUGGACUCGCGGCUUAUCAGCUUGUUGGUGGGGUAGUGGCUUACCAAGGCUUUGACGGGUAGCCGGCCUGAGAGGGUGACCGGCCACAUUGGGACUGAGAUACGGCCCAGACUCCUACGGGAGGCAGCAGUGGGGAAUAUUGCACAAUGGGCGGAAGCCUGAUGCAGCAACGCCGCGUGCGGGAUGACGGCCCUCGGGUUGUAAACCGCUUUCGCCUGUGACGAAGCGUGAGUGACGGUAAUGGGUAAAGAAGCACCGGCUAACUACGUGCCAGCAGCCGCGGUGAUACGUAGGGUGCGAGCGUUGUCCGGAUUUAUUGGGCGUAAAGGGCUCGUAGGUGGUUGAUCGCGUCGGAAGUGUAAUCUUGGGGCUUAACCCUGAGCGUGCUUUCGAUACGGGUUGACUUGAGGAAGGUAGGGGAGAAUGGAAUUCCUGGUGGAGCGGUGGAAUGCGCAGAUAUCGGGAGGAACACCAGUGGCGAAGGCGGUUCUCUGGGCCUUUCCUGACGCUGAGGAGCGAAAGCGUGGGGAGCGAACAGGCUUAGAUACCCUGGUAGUCCACGCUGUAAACGGUGGGUACUAGGUGUGGGGUCCAUUCCACGGGUUCCGUGCCGUAGCUAACGCUUUAAGUACCCCGCCUGGGGAGUACGGCCGCAAGGCUAAAACUCAAAGGAAUUGGCGGGGCCCCGCACAAGCGGCGGAGCAUGCGGAUUAAUUCGAUGCAACGCGUAGAACCUUACCUGGGUUUGACAUGGAUCGGGAGUGCUCAGAGAUGGGUGUGCCUCUUUUGGGGUCGGUUCACAGGUGGUGCACGGCUGUCGUCAGCUCGUGUCGUGAGAUGUUGGGUUAAGUCACGCAACGAGCGCAACCCUUGUUCACUGUUGCCAGCACGUUAUGGUGGGGACUCAGUGGAGACCGCCGGGGUCAACUCGGAGGAAGGUGGGGAUGACGUCAAGUCAUCAUGCCCCUUAUGUCCAGGGCUUCACGCAUGCUACAAUGGCUGGUACAGAGAGUGGCGAGCCUGUGAGGGUGAGCGAAUCUCGGAAAGCCGGUCUCAGUUCGGAUUGGGGUCUGCAACUCGACCUCAUGAAGUCGGAGUCGCUAGUAAUCGCAGAUCAGCAACGCUGCGGUGAAUACGUUCCCGGGGCU